Molecule: ribosomal RNA, 253 nt
Filed under: uncultured bacterium
Lineage: Bacteria
Description: partial 16S ribosomal RNA
Rfam family: Bacterial small subunit ribosomal RNA
Source: RNAcentral
CACGUAGGGGGCGAGCGUUGUUCGGAAUCAUUGGGCGUAAAGGGCGUGCAGGCGGUCCUGCAAGUCCGGCGUGAAAGACCCCGGCCCAACCGGGGGGACGCGCUGGAAACUGCAGGGCUUGAGUACAGGAGGGGAUGCCGGAAUUCCAGGUGUAGGGGUGAAAUCUGUAGAUAUCUGGAAGAACACCAAUGGCGAAGGCAGGCAUCUGGCCAUGUACUGACGCUGAGACGCGAAGGUGCGGGGAGCAAACAGG